This 662-nucleotide ribosomal RNA is filed under the name uncultured archaeon. RNAcentral's name for it is "bacterial SSU rRNA". It matches the Rfam family "Archaeal small subunit ribosomal RNA", at positions 192 to 856 of the family's 1478-position model. The record is from RNAcentral.
AGCUCCGGCGGCCUAGGAUAGCUCUGCGGCCUAUCAGGUUGUAGCGAGGGUAACGUCCUCGCUAGCCUACGACGGGUAUGGGUGUUGGGAGACAUCGCCCAGAGAUGGAUUCUGAGACACGAAUCCAGGCCCUACGGGGCGCAGCAGGCGCGAAAACUGCACAAUGUGGGAAACCACGAUGCGGGAAACCCAAGUGCCAGCACUAUGUGUUGGCUGUCCUCCAGUGUUCGUAACUGGGGAAGAAAGUGCUGGGUAAGACGGGUGCCAGCCGCCGCGGUAAUACCCGCAGCACAAGUGGUGGUCAUUAUUAUUGGGCCUAAAGCGUCCGUAGCAGGCUUGUUAGAUGCCUGGGUAAAUCGAUGCGCUCAACGCAUCGACUUCCGGGUAGACCGGCAAGCUCGAGACCGGGAGAGGCGUGAGCUACUCGAGGGGUAGGGGUAAAAUCCUGUAAUCCUUCGGGGAGGACCAGUGGCGAAGGCGUCACGCUAGAACGGCUCUGACUGUGAGGGACGAAGCCCUGGGGCGCAAACCGGAUUAGAUACCCGGGUAGUCCAGGGUGUAAACGCUGCAGACUUGGUGUCGGUGAUCCUACGAGGGUUGCCGGUGCCGGAGAGAAGUUGUUGAGUCUGCCGCCUGGGGAGUACGGUCGCAAGACUGAAACU